CCCUACGGGAGGCAGCAGUGAGGAAUUUUGCGCAAUGGCCGCAAGGCUGACGCAGCAACGCCGCGUGGGUGAAGAAGGCCUUCGGGUCGUAAAGCCCUGUCAGGUGGGAAGAAUGAUUCGGGAGUGAAUAAUUCCCGGAUGUGACGGUACCACCAGAGGAAGCACCGGCUAACUCCGUGCCAGCAGCCGCGGUAAUACGGAGGGUGCAAGCGUUAUUCGGAAUUACUGGGCGUAAAGCGCGUGCAGGCGGGCGAGCAAGUCUGAUGUGAAAGCCCUGGGCUUAACCUGGGAAGUGCAUUGGAAACUGUUCGUCUUGAGUUGCGGAGAGGAAGGGGGAAUUCCCGGUGUAGAGGUGAAAUUCGUAGAGAUCGGGAGGAAUACCAGUGGCGAAGGCGCCCUUCUGGACGACAACUGACGCUGAGACGCGAAAGCGUGGGGAGCAAACAGGAUUAGAUACCCUAGUAGUCUA
Molecule: ribosomal RNA, 469 nt
Filed under: uncultured bacterium
Lineage: Bacteria
Description: bacterial SSU rRNA
Rfam family: Bacterial small subunit ribosomal RNA
Source: RNAcentral